GCUUACGGCCAUACCACCCUGAGCGCGCCCGAUCUCGUCCGAUCUCGGAAGCUAAGCAGGGUCGGGCCUGGUUAGUACUUGGAUGGGAGACCGCCUGGGAAUACCAGGUGCUGUAAGCC
Molecule: ribosomal RNA, 119 nt
Organism: Dicentrarchus labrax (European seabass)
Lineage: Eukaryota; Metazoa; Chordata; Actinopteri; Moronidae
Source: Ensembl